GGGGUUCUUAUUUUUGAAUUAAUUUAUGAUUCAUAUGAGGAAGAGGAAAGUUCAAUAAUAGAUGGAUCCUUAUUGGAGAAAAAUUCUCUCUCAAUAGAGGAGUCCUCAGAUAGGGACAAGCCUUCAAGAAUAGGAUCAGGUAUAGGUGUAUCAAUUUGAUUUGAUGAAGAAGGUGAAAUAUUCCUGGGUUUGGCUUCAGAGAU
Molecule: long non-coding RNA, 203 nt
Filed under: Lathyrus oleraceus (garden pea)
Lineage: Eukaryota; Viridiplantae; Streptophyta; Magnoliopsida; Fabales; Fabaceae
Description: Pisum sativum (pea) long non-coding RNA (PSAT_LNC010664)
Source: RNAcentral